Molecule: ribosomal RNA, 1561 nt
Filed under: Thelohanellus kitauei
Lineage: Eukaryota; Metazoa; Cnidaria; Myxozoa; Bivalvulida; Myxobolidae
Description: SSU rRNA
Rfam family: Eukaryotic small subunit ribosomal RNA
Source: RNAcentral
GACUCGAGCUAAUACGUGCAGUUCAUUGGCUCGUCUUCGGACGAGUCAAAGCAUUUAUUAGACUAAACCAUCUACUAUGCUCGCAUAGUAAGGGGAAUCUAGAUAACUUUGCUGAUCGUAUGGCCUAGUGCCGGCGACGUUUCAAUUGAGUUUCUGCCCUAUCAACUUGUUGGUAAGGUAUUGGCUUACCAAGGUUGCAACGGGUAACGGGGAAUCAGGGUUCGAUUCCGGAGAGGGAGCCUGAGAAACGGCUACCACAUCCAAGGAAGGCAACAGGCGCGCAAAUUACCCAAUCUAGACAGUAGGAGGUGGUGAAGAGAAUUACUAGGUGGUGACUCAAUGAGUUACCAGUUUGGAAUGAACGUAACUUAAGAAAUUCGAUGAGAAACAACUGGAGGGCAAGUCCUGGUGCCAGCAGCCGCGGUAAUUCCAGCUCCAGUAGUUUGCUUUAAAGUUGUUGCGUUUAAAACGCUCGUAGUUGGAUCACGCAGCAGUGCCCAGUAAUCUACUAUUCGACGUAUCACUGAAAACCACUUGUGUGGCCUUUCAUGAGCUGUCAUUAGCAGAUACCAACGCUGAGCACUGUUAGUUGCACGUGAGAUGAAUUGUUGGCCUUUAUUGAGCCGGUAUUCUCGUCUUGCGGAGUGUGCCUUGAAUAAAACAGAGUGCUUAAAGCAGGUCGUUGCCUGAAUGUUAUAGCAUGGAACGAACAAUCGUGUAUAUGUGUGUAUCCUAGAUUGGUGACGAGCCUUAGGCUUGUUGUUGAUCUGGAUGCAUACGGCACCCACCUAAAUAUGGCUGUUGGUUCCAUAUACGGUGAUGAUUAAAAGGAGCGGUUGGGGGCAUCGGUAUUUGGCCGCGAGAGGUGAAAUUCUUAGACCGGCCAAGGACUAACAAAUGCAAAGGCACUUGUCUAGACCGUUUCCAUUAAUCAAGAACGAAAGUGGGAGGUUCGAAGACGAUCAGAUACCGUCCUAGUUCCCACCGUAAACUAUGCCGACCUGGGAUCAGUUUAGAGAUGUUACAAGCUCUAGAUUGGUCCCCCUGGGAAACCUCAAGUUUUUCGGUUACGGGGAGAGUAUGGUCGCAAGGCUGAAACUUAAAGGAAUUGACGGAAGGGCACCACCAGGGGUGGAGCCUGCGGCUUAAUUUGACUCAACACGGGGAAACUUACCUGGUCCGGACAUCGAUAGGAUUAACAGAUCAAUAGCUCUUUUAUGAUGCGAUGAGUGGUGGUGCAUGGCCGUUCUUAGUUCGUGGAGUGAUCUGUCGGCCUAAUCGCGGUAACGAACGAGACCAUAAUCUCCAUUUAAGAGAUAGAAGCAGACGUCUGUGCGAGUGGAGUCGCAAGAUUUCACCCGUCGGGUGUUGCAGGUUGCAUUGUGCGUCGCAUUGUCAAAGUGUAGGGGCAACCUGAAACUUUGGUGGUGUGGUGUGCUUUGUUCCCUUCUAUUGAGCAGCAAUCGGUCUCGACUGGUUGUUGCCUUAUGGAGAGACAACGAGGUAUAUACAAGCUCGAGGAAGAGUGGCUAUAACAGGUCAGUGAUGCCCUUCGAUGCUC